CUAUAUUGCACAUCAAGGUCAUUGGAAAACCUGAAAGACAACUAUUGGUUUCUGCGUCUUAAAGUAUUUCGAAUUCAAGAGUUUAAACCCGUUCAAAGAGGAAGAUUCUCUGAUGGCACAUCAAGCACUGCUGAAGAAAUUUCCUGUGGUCUUGAUAGCUGGCCUAACUAUAUCGAUUGUGACUACUCCACUAAUCUGCAAAAGUUUUGAAUUGAGGAAUGAUCAUGAAAGCCAGUGUAGCAUCUAUAGUACACUACUGAAAUUGAAGGUGAAUCUACCAGGAGGUUGCCCUUACGACAGAGUCAUGGAUUUGUCCAAUAAAAUAAUUCUUAAAGGAAUCAUAUUUCUAAGUAUCAUUAUUUUCCUCGUUGGUACCACUUGGCUUCUCAUAAUAUAUUCAUCAAGAUAUCAUCGAGUGGAGAUUGG
Saccostrea cuccullata (small rock oyster) is the source of this 426-nucleotide long non-coding RNA. RefSeq lists it as uncharacterized. Lineage: Eukaryota; Metazoa; Mollusca; Bivalvia; Ostreida; Ostreidae. The record is from RefSeq and is a predicted model, not a curated record. The transcript is spliced from 3 exons.